Molecule: ribosomal RNA, 492 nt
Filed under: uncultured bacterium
Lineage: Bacteria
Description: partial 16S ribosomal RNA
Rfam family: Bacterial small subunit ribosomal RNA
Source: RNAcentral
AGUGAACGCUGGCGGUAGGCCUAACACAUGCAAGUCGAACGGCAGCACAGUAAGAGCUUGCUCUUACGGGUGGCGAGUGGCGGACGGGUGAGGAAUACAUCGGAAUCUACUUUUUCGUGGGGGAUAACGUAGGGAAACUUACGCUAAUACCGCAUACGACCUACGGGUGAAAGCAGGGGAUCUUCGGACCUUGCGCGAUUGAAUGAGCCGAUGUCGGAUUAGCUAGUUGGCGGGGUAAAGGCCCACCAAGGCGACGAUCCGUAGCUGGUCUGAGAGGAUGAUCAGCCACACUGGAACUGAGACACGGUCCAGACUCCUACGGGAGGCAGCAGUGGGGAAUAUUGGACAAUGGGCGCAGGCCUGAUCCAGCCAUACCGCGUGGGUGAAAAAGGCCUUCGGGUUGUAAAGCCCUUUUGUUGGGAAAGAAAAGCAGCAGGUUAAUACCCCGCUGUUCUGACGGUACCCAAAGAAUAAGCACCGGCUAACUUCGUG